GAAAUCUCUUGGGAGCAGGAGUUCUUUCAGGCUCCCAGGGCAUAGCAAGCAAAGCAAGGUAAGUUAUCUUGACACCAAGUCCUCGAGCAGCAGAUCUUUUGGGGAAUGAACAAAGUGCUCUGUAGAGCCAGCCUGGCUUAUCAUCAGAGUCAUCUGUAUCCUUGAAAAGUACAGCUGGGGUUCGGGAAGCUGCAGAGAACACUUCUGUUACACUGACGUGCUUCUCCAAGCAGCGGAAUCAUCAGCGGAAUCAUCAUGACUUCAGUUUGAGGAGGAGUUGCCCUGUUUUCCAGAAGAGGAAUGUGAAUUGCUGAGGAGAAGAGACAUAGGUAAUUGUGCCCCAGUCAGUAUUUUCAGUGCUGAGCAAGUAACCAUCGGUAUCUUCCUAUUGUCCUGCCUGUCAAACUGGACCCCAUGGCAGCAGCCUUUGGUCACAUCUAUUUGAAACUUGGGGAAAGCAGUGAUCAGAAGACAAGUCAAUGGAAGACUUCUCCCAAUUCAGAAAAUUAUAGCAAAUACAUUGAUUAGCUAUUUAUGAUUUUUUCAAAUCGUGGUUGAGAGGCCUAAACAUGGGAUUUGAAGACCGGUGACAGAAGGAACAUUGCUGUGCACAAUCUAAGCCACUACACCUCUUUCACUAUUGAACUGAAGUAAGAGAAUUAACCGUUCCUUUGCCAUGGACUAAACAUGUGUUUACAAAUGGUUAUUGCCCUUCAGCUGAUGUGAGAUACAUAGCAAAGCUGCAAGAAUUUGACAGGAUGUUUGAGUUCUGGUUUGAAACUGGCUUCUACCUAUGUAACUUCUCACUGUGUUCUUCAGUUUCUCAUACACUUCUUCAUGGGUGGAAAAUAAUUUCUUCAUUUGUGAAGGAUGUUGUGCUAAAAAAAUAAUUGCAAGGUGCUUUGAAGAUGUACUUCUCUGUGCCAUAAGUUAAUGACCCAACACCCAUUUGAACAGAGGCCUAUCUGGGUACAUUCUUUUAGGUGGUUGAGUUGUGACACCUUGAAAAAGUCCCAGUCAUUAGACAGCUCUCAGCAGCUGUUCUCUGAAAAUCAGAGCCACUGAAGACGGUCGCAACACUGCUUGUGUUCAGAUGGGUGUCAAAGCGGAUCUGAGAGAGCUUACUUAAAGCAAUGAGAAGCCGUCACUUUCAGGAAAAAAAAAAGAAGAAAAAAGACAAAAAAAAACCCCAUAUCAACAUGCUAAAUAGCCAGAGAUCAGGAGAGACCUAAUCUUCUCCUGUAGGUAACCUCUCUCCUUCUGUGAGGUCCUUACCUAAUAUCUGGUCUUCUUGCAACAUGCAAGGAAAUGUAUAAUCAAACUGGAAUGGCUCUUGCUGUGACAGUUUCCUGUCUCCGGCUGUGUAGAAUUUCUGUAUGAUAACAAUUAUUUCUAAGUAUGAAAUUCACUCCUUUUUGUCACGGAAAAUUCCCACAACUUCUCAUUUCUCAAGGGGAAUUCCAGGCACGCCAAGUGAAAAUUGUUUAAAGGAACAUCUGUUUUCUCUCAUAAAUUAUAUGACAACAUCUUAAUAGAAACACAACCCGCCUGUAUAUACUUCUGUGCUUUCACCCAUUAAUUACAGAGAACAUUAAGGUUCCAUUUUACUGUGCUUUAAACAUCUGGUGCCAAAAGAAGCAGCAAGGAGAAGGGAAGCGUGAUUAUGUUAUUAGACUCCACAGCCUCAAAAUACUGAUCAGCGUUCAUUAUUGUCUGUUGCUUGACGUGAAGCCAGUCUUUAAUGUGCAACUCACUGACUAUACAUAUAUAUAUCUUAUCAAAUAUAUAUUUAAAAGAAAUAUGUAGUCAUAGAUACUGUUUUAUCCUGUUGUGCAGUAUUUUUUAAUAAUCUCAAUUUACCAUAGUUAACAAAAACAUCAUGUGGUCUAAAUUCAGCCAACUUUUAUAAUGAACUUGGUAACAUAUCCAAACUUAAAUCUGAUGUCCCUGAAAUACCUACAAGACUUAGAAUCCAAUACUACAGCACGAAGAGCGUUGCAGUCAAGCUUUUCAUUCAGUCCUGUGGUCUUCAUGUGCUAAAUAACCAGCAGAGGCAGAGCAAUCAGCCGCAGCACCAUGGGAGCGAUCCCUCCUUCACAUUUGCAGUGACUACAGCCAAGGCACGGUGUUGAACGCCCUGUGAUGGUAAGACUCAAUGA
Chroicocephalus ridibundus (black-headed gull) is the source of this 2159-nucleotide long non-coding RNA. RefSeq lists it as uncharacterized. The transcript has 3 exons. The record is from RefSeq and is a predicted model, not a curated record. NCBI's taxonomy places the organism in Eukaryota, Metazoa, Chordata, Aves, Charadriiformes, Laridae.